UGGGAAUUUGACAAUGGGCGAAAGCCUGAUCCAGCAAUGCCGCGUGUGUGAAGAAGGCCUUCGGGUUGUAAAGCACUUUUGUCCGGAAAGAAAUCCUUGGCUCUAAUACAGUCGGGGGAUGACGGUACCGGAAGAAUAAGCACCGGCUAACUACGUGCCAGCAGCCGCGGUAAUACGUAGGGUGCAAGCGUUAAUCGGAAUUACUGGGCGUAAAGCGUGCGCAGGCGGUUUGCUAAGACCGAUGUGAAAUCCCCGGGCUCAACCUGGGAACUGCAUUGGUGACUGGCAGGCUAGAGUAUGGCAGAGGGGGGUAGAAUUCCACGUGUAGCAGUGAAAUGCGUAGAGAUGUGGAGGAAUACCGAUGGCGAAGGCAGCCCCCUGGGCAAGUACUGACGCUCAUGCACGAAAGCGUGGGGAGCAAACNGGAUUAAUNCCCUGGUAGUCCACGCCCUAAANGAUGUCAACUAGUUGUUGGGGAUUCAUUUCCUAGUAACGUAGCUAACGCGUGAAGUUGACCGCCUGGGGAGUACGUCGCAAGAUUAAAACUCAAAGAAUUGACGGGGUC
Molecule: ribosomal RNA, 565 nt
Filed under: uncultured bacterium
Lineage: Bacteria
Description: partial 16S ribosomal RNA
Rfam family: Bacterial small subunit ribosomal RNA
Source: RNAcentral